RNAcentral lists this ribosomal RNA (460 nucleotides) under uncultured bacterium. RNAcentral describes it as "partial 16S ribosomal RNA". It matches the Rfam family "Bacterial small subunit ribosomal RNA", at positions 338 to 795 of the family's 1533-position model. The record is from RNAcentral.
CCUACGGGUGGCAGCAGUGAGGAAUUUUGGUCAAUGGACGGAAGUCUGAACCAGCCAUGCCGCGUGCAGGAAGACGGCUCUAUGAGUUGUAAACUGCUUUUGUACAAGGGUAAACCUGAAUACGUGUAUUCAGCUGAAAGUACUGUACGAAUACGGAUCGGCUAACUCCGUGCCAGCAGCCGUGGUAAUACGUAGGCUCCAAGCGUUGUCCGGAUUUAUUGGGUGUAAAGGGUGCGUAGGCGGAUUGAUAAGUUAGGGGUGAAAGGUCCGGGCGUAACUCGGGAACUGACUCUAAUACUGUGGAGCUAGAGAGUAGAUGCGGUAGGCGGAAUGUAUGGUGUAGCGGUGAAAUGCUUAGAGAUCGUACAGAACACCGAUGGCGAAGGCAGCUUACCAAUCUAUAUCUGACGUUGAGGCACGAAGGCGUGGGGAGCAAACAGGAUUAGAUACCCUUGUAGUC